CCCUUAGAUGUUCUGGGCUGCACACGUGCUACACUGGCAGGUUCAGCGAGCUUCAUGCCCUGAUCUGAAAGGAAUGGGAAAUCUUUUCAAAACCUGCCGUGCUUGGGAUAGAUGUUUGCAAUUAUUCAUCUUCAACGAGGAAUGCCUAGUAAACGCAAGUCAUCAGCUUGCAUUGAUUACGUCCCUGCCCUUUGUACACACCGCCCGUCGCUCCUACCGAUUGAAUGAUCCGAUGAAUACCAUGGAUUGAGAGUACGAAUAGGUUCGCUUAUUUCUGCUUCUCGAGAAGUGGAGUAAAUCUUAUCAUUUAGAGGAAGGAGAAGUCGUAACA
This 331-nucleotide ribosomal RNA is filed under the name uncultured eukaryote. Its description in RNAcentral is "partial 18S ribosomal RNA". It matches the Rfam family "Eukaryotic small subunit ribosomal RNA", at positions 1470 to 1796 of the family's 1831-position model. The record is from RNAcentral.